GAAUUAGCUUGCUAAUUUGCUGACGAGUGGCGCACGGGUGCGUAACGCGUAUACAAUCUACCUUUUGCUGAGGGAUAGCCCAGAGAAAUUUGGAUUAAUACCUCAUGGUAUUAUUGAUAGGCAUCUAUUAAUAAUUAAAGGUUACGGCAAAAGAUGAGUAUGCGUCCCAUUAGCUAGUUGGUGAAGUAACGGUUCACCAAGGCAACGAUGGGUAGGGGUCCUGAGAGGGAGAUCCCCCACACUGGUACUGAGACACGGACCAGACUCCUACGGGAGGCAGCAGUGAGGAAUAUUGGACAAUGGGCGAGAGCCUGAUCCAGCCAUGCCGCGUGCAGGAAGACUGCCCUAUGGGUUGUAAACUGCUUUUAUACAGGAAGAAUAAGCCUUACGUGUAAGGUGAUGACGGUACUGUAAGAAUAAGGACCGGCUAACUCCGUGCCAGCAGCCGCGGUAAUACGUUGGGUCCGCGCGUUAUCCGGAAUUAUU
RNAcentral lists this ribosomal RNA (486 nucleotides) under uncultured Aureimarina sp. RNAcentral describes it as "bacterial SSU rRNA". It matches the Rfam family "Bacterial small subunit ribosomal RNA", at positions 72 to 555 of the family's 1533-position model. Lineage: Bacteria; Pseudomonadati; Bacteroidota; Flavobacteriia; Flavobacteriales; Flavobacteriaceae. The record is from RNAcentral.